AGUGAACGCUGGCGGUAGGCCUAACACAUGCAAGUCGAACGGCAGCACAGUAAGAGCUUGCUCCUACGGGUGGCGAGUGGCGGACGGGUGAGGAAUACAUCGGAAUCUACUUUUUCGUGGGGGAUAACGUAGGGAAACUUACGCUAAUACCGCAUACGACCUACGGGUGAAAGCAGGGGAUCUUCGGACCUUGCGCGAUUGAAUGAGCCGAUGUCGGAUUAGCUAGUUGGCGGGGUAAAGGCCCACCAAGGCGACGAUCCGUAGCUGGUCUGAGAGGAUGAUCAGCCACACUGGAACUGAGACACGGUCCAGACUCCUACGGGAGGCAGCAGUGGGGAAUAUUGGACAAUGGGCGCAAGCCUGAUCCAGCCAUACCGCGUGGGUGAAGAAGGCCUUCAGGUUGUAAAGCCCUUUUGUUGGGAAAGAAAAGCAGCAGGUUAAUACCCCGCUGUUCUGACGGUACCCAAAGAAUAAGCACCGGCUAACUUCGUG
This 492-nucleotide ribosomal RNA is filed under the name uncultured bacterium. Its description in RNAcentral is "partial 16S ribosomal RNA". It matches the Rfam family "Bacterial small subunit ribosomal RNA", at positions 29 to 507 of the family's 1533-position model. The record is from RNAcentral.